RNAcentral lists this ribosomal RNA (251 nucleotides) under uncultured bacterium. RNAcentral describes it as "partial 16S ribosomal RNA". It matches the Rfam family "Bacterial small subunit ribosomal RNA", at positions 524 to 776 of the family's 1533-position model. The record is from RNAcentral.
UACGUAGGGGCAAGCGUUGUCCGGAUUUAUUGGGCGUAAAGAGCGUGUAGGCGGCUUGGUAGGUCUCGCGUCAAAACCUGAGGCUCAACCUCAGUUCGCGUGGGAAACCACCUAGCUAGAGUCCGGAAGAGGAGAACGGAAUUCCCAGUGUAGCGGUGAAAUGCGCAGAUAUUGGGAAGAACACCAGUGGCGAAGGCGGUUCUCUGGGACGGUACUGACGCUGAGACGCGAAAGCGUGGGGAGCGAACAGG